AAACCGUUCGGGGGUAAACGGACAGAGCCCGUGAAUCCGGGCGGCGGAAUUCAGAAUCGACGCCGUUCGCGCGUCGUCGGUUCGAUAUUUCCGUCGCCAAUCUAAUUUUCCGGACGUCGCGACCCGUUCGGUGUCGGUCUGCGGGAGACGUGCAAAAGUUCGUGGGCGUGUGACGGGGUUUCGGCCUUGACGGACGUUUCGCGAGUGCGCGUUUUUUUCUGGCCGACUCGCCGGACGGUAUGCGAAACGGUGAUCGCGGCGGCCUCUCGUCAGCGCCGUCGCGUUACCGGUCUGCGACGAAUCUUCGGGCCUCUUUCCGA
RNAcentral lists this ribosomal RNA (320 nucleotides) under Paradoxococcus mcdanieli. RNAcentral describes it as "partial 28S large subunit ribosomal RNA". Lineage: Eukaryota; Metazoa; Arthropoda; Insecta; Hemiptera; Pseudococcidae. The record is from RNAcentral.